This 745-nucleotide ribosomal RNA is filed under the name uncultured bacterium. RNAcentral's name for it is "bacterial SSU rRNA". It matches the Rfam family "Bacterial small subunit ribosomal RNA", at positions 33 to 773 of the family's 1533-position model. The record is from RNAcentral.
ACGCUGGCGGCAGGCCUAACACAUGCAAGUCGAGCGGUAGAGAGAAGCUUGCUUCUCUUGAGAGCGGCGGACGGGUGAGUAAUGCCUAGGAAUCUGCCUGGUAGUGGGGGAUAACGUCCGGAAACGGACGCUAAUACCGCAUACGUCCUACGGGAGAAAGCAGGGGACCUUCGGGCCUUGCGCUAUCAGAUGAGCCUAGGUCGGAUUAGCUAGUUGGUGGGGUAAUGGCUCACCAAGGCGACGAUCCGUAACUGGUCUGAGAGGAUGAUCAGUCACACUGGAACUGAGACACGGUCCAGACUCCUACGGGAGGCAGCAGUGGGGAAUAUUGGACAAUGGGCGAAAGCCUGAUCCAGCCAUGCCGCGUGUGUGAAGAAGGUCUUCGGAUUGUAAAGCACUUUAAGUUGGGAGGAAGGGCAGUAAAUUAAUACUUUGCUGUUUUGACGUUACCGACAGAAUAAGCACCGGCUAACUCUGUGCCAGCAGCCGCGGUAAUACAGAGGGUGCAAGCGUUAAUCGGAAUUACUGGGCGUAAAGCGCGCGUAGGUGGUUCGUUAAGUUGGAUGUGAAAUCCCCGGGCUCAACCUGGGAACUGCAUUCAAAACUGACGAGCUAGAGUAUGGUAGAGGGUGGUGGAAUUUCCUGUGUAGCGGUGAAGUGCGUAGAUAUAGGAAGGAACACCAGUGGCGAAGGCGACCACCUGGACUGAUACUGACACUGAGGUGCGAAAGCGUGGGGAGCAAAC